RNAcentral lists this ribosomal RNA (207 nucleotides) under uncultured Lachnospiraceae bacterium. RNAcentral's name for it is "partial 16S ribosomal RNA". It matches the Rfam family "Bacterial small subunit ribosomal RNA", at positions 568 to 774 of the family's 1533-position model. The record is from RNAcentral. Lineage: Bacteria; Bacillati; Bacillota; Clostridia; Lachnospirales; Lachnospiraceae.
AGCGUAGACGGUUUGGCAAGUCUGAAGUGAAAGCCCGGGGCUCAACCCCGGGACUGCUUUGGAAACUGUCAAACUAGAGUGCAGGAGAGGUAAGUGGAAUUCCUAGUGUAGCGGUGAAAUGCGUAGAUAUUAGGAGGAACACCAGUGGCGAAGGCGGCUUACUGGACUGUAACUGACGUUGAGGCUCGAAAGCGUGGGGAGCAAACA